Molecule: long non-coding RNA, 3634 nt
Filed under: Mus musculus (house mouse)
Lineage: Eukaryota; Metazoa; Chordata; Mammalia; Rodentia; Muridae
Description: predicted gene, 19385 (Gm19385)
Source: RNAcentral
GUCUGUGUCACAGAAGUCUGACAGACAGCCACAGUCAAGAGAUGGCAGCAGGCAUGUGAUGCGACCAGCUGAAGCAGGCCUCCUUCCCAGCAGACCAUCUGCAAAUAUUUAUGGAGGCUCUACUGUGUGCCAGCUCUGUGCCCAGGUCUGCGGGGCACACAGGCGUCCUGUGUGAAACAAGGAAUGUAUGUUAGGAAUGGGAAGACUAGUGGACAUGCAGGAAAUGGAGAAAGGUUUUACCAGCAGGGAAGAGAGUCAGAUGCUAGGCCCAGAAAGACAACGCUUGGCCUCCAGCUACUUGUUCAUGGAGGAGGAGAGAGGGGCCGGUGCCAUGCCGUCUGAUCUGUCUUAGCUACAAGGCCUUCACAAUGGAAGUUUGUCUUUGCAUGGGCUCCACAGAAGCAACAGCUGAGUAGGACAUGCGUGGGAAACAGAGUCGCCAGAGAGACGCUUCCAGAAGGAAAGUCUGUCACUAGGUCCUGGAGCUGGCCAGGUAGCCUAGGGUAGCUGACCCCGCAAAGCCCAGGAGCCUCCUGUCUGCAGCUCUUCACAGUUGAGCCCACAACCUCACCUCACAUCACCACUGCUUAUGUGGGUUCUGAGACUCAAACUCACAUCCUCAUGCUUUCGAACCAAGCAGUGUGCCAACAGAUCCAGCCCCCAGUUCUGGAACUCUUUCAGGACCCAAUUCAGUGGUCAGAAACCAAAGCUGAAGAUACCUUCUGACUCCAGGAGCUUGGUGACCAAUGACUCUGAACUUCAGGAUCUUGGUAAUUCUGUGACGCUCCAAGGAGCUGUCUCCCUGCUUGGCACAGAAAGGGCAAUGUCGGGAGUGGGCUGCCAUGCCUGUUGAAAAGUCCCCGUGACCUGCUCCUCUUGUUUAUGUACUGUCCUGGGGAAGGUAACAAUUUAGAUGGCAAAUGUCGCUGCCAGGGCUGGGAGUCACAGUCUUAAUUCCCGGGUAUUUACUGUGACAGGUUUAAUGUUCUAAUAUCUCAGGGAGACCCAGGCUCCACUCCAGAGCAGACAAGAUAGGAAUGGCCAAGACGCCUCACUUGGCUUUUUAUCCUGACAAUUUAUGAAACCUGAUGCUUCCGUUAGCUCUUAGGCUCAGGGGCCCUGGAGCAAGAUCUGGGGAGCAUCCCAGCUCUGACUGACUGCUGCCUGUCUCUCAUCCCUGAGUGAGCCCCUGGCACUGGCCUUCCUGCGGGGGAUCCCUGGCAGGCCCCUCCUUGAUGGCCUGUAGCUCCACAUUACUUGGCAGCGGACGGCGAUGCCUGCUUCAGUCAGGCUGUGGGGGACCUGAGGCAGCAUCGGUGACAUAGCAACCUCGCUUCCAAAUUCAGCCUCAAGCAAACAUCCGCAUUAGUGAUUCGUUUCCACACUGGGAUCAUCAGUGUGCGGUGGCUCAGACAGCCUCCUCCGCUAGCAGAGCAGAUGCUCCAGCACUGGGUCGAAGCAUUCCUAAGUCCAGUGGACAAAACCAGGCCACACUAUCUCCCUCCAUUCCUCCCCCCAUUCCUGCCCAUAGGUCUGUGUGGACAGAAGGAGCUGAGGGACCUUCCUACCUUAUAUAAGGGGAGGGGGGGAGAAGGGGAGAAAGAAUCACUCUGUAGCCGAGGCUGGCUUUAAACUUGUAACAGCCCUCUUGCCUCAGCCUCCUGAAUUCUGAGGUGACAGGUGCGAACCAUCUCCAGCAAAAUAAUUGUUACAAAGAAAUUUGCUGGGAGCCUUUUAGUUCUUGACCAUGAGCUGGCUUCCUACUCCCUAAUUUGAGCUUCUAUUUCUUCCCCACAAAUUAUUCUAGUGAAAGGGAGAAUAUUUUAUUUACCUAAAUCUUCACUGUGUCUAAAGUGGUCUCCAGGACUGGGGCUUGUGGGAAAGCAGCUGUUUUUAGCGAAGGGCCUGGCACCUGGUAAAUCCUCAAAGGUCAUUCACGACUGUAAUUACUGUCAGCCUCUUUAGGUGGGAUGCCUCUUUGUGUCUUCCAUGAACAGAAUCAUCUCAGGCCUGAAUUGGUUUGUGGGGAGGUAAUUAUGAAACAAAGGGGUCUGGUGACAGCUGGGUCUCAGAGGAAUCAUUCUGCUCACGUGGUCCAAUCGAACUUUCUGUCAUGGUGGAGAUUUUCUAAUCCUCACAGUUCAACACAAUAGCCAAGGGGUGCACGGGGCAAGGCAGCACCUGAGGGGCAGCAAGUACAAAUGAGAAUGUAAAUUUUUAAUUUGAGUUCAUUUAAAUGUAGAUAGCUACAUGUGGCUGGUGCCUACUGGUCUGGUGGGAUGGUGAGGCCCAGGCUGUGGCUACUGAGUAUGUCGUGCAGCAUAUGAGGGACUAGGAGCAGGCUCAGGAGGUAGAGUGCCUGCCCUACAGCGAAAGGAUCUGUUUGGAUCCCUAAGACCCGUGUGAAAUGGGGCACUGUGCUGCUUGCCUGCAACCCCAGAGCUGAGGAAUGGGGACAGGGAUUCCCAGGGUCUUCCUUGCUGGUCAGCAAAUGUAGCUAAAACAGAGUUUCCAGUUCAGAGUGAAGCCGUCUCAAGAAAAAAAAAAAAAAAAAAAAAGGGGCAGGAAAGUGAUUGAGGAAAGAUAACUUGCUGAAAAAUCUCUAGUCUUCACACAUACACACACUCUCACAUAUGCACACACACCACACACAUAUAAUACUAAUAUACACACUUAUAUACACAUAUACAUACAUAUACACACACAUACAUACUCCACAGACACACACAUAUGCACACUUACACAUAUGCACACACACCACACACAUAUACAUACUCACACAUACACACACUUAUACACACACACAUAUAUAUAUAUACAUACAUACACACAUACACACUCCACAGACACACACAUAUACAUACUCACAAAUAUGCACACAUACCACACACAUAUGCAUGCUUACACAUACACACGCUUACACACACAUACACACACUUAUACAUACAUACACACAUGCACACACAAUCACACACACAUAUCACUAAAUGAGUGAACAAUUAUAAACUAGUGACUGGCACAGUUGUAGCUCUCAUGCCACAGGCAGUUAGAGAGACUGAAAACUUUGACCAUAUUAUACACAAAUGUUCUAACAUAAGCAGUCACUAGAAUAUUUGUCCUAAGGAGGCAACAAUCCUCAGUCCUGUGCAUUAAAGAAUUUGUUGGACAUUUCUGGGAGAUGAUGUGCCUGAAACUUGAGCUCUGGCUUGCAGGUUGGCCAUAGACCCUGCCAGAGGACCAUGAAGUCACAUCUGUUCAAAUUGAGCUGGUGAUGUCCUCGACUAGGGAAUGAAAGUCAAACACUACACAGGGGUUUCUGUCAAUGUUUUCUUAGACAUAUUCCAAAUCUUCCAAACAGUGCACAAUAUAAUAUUCUUAGCUUUGGACUCUGCCACUCCACAUCUAGAAAUGAUACUUUCAAAUAUAGAAAUACACUAAGAUGCUAAUAACAACGGGACUUACGUUAGCAUCUCCUUGGAAACAGGCCACAGAUUUAUUAAGGGACAGGCCAAAGGAACAACACAAUAAAACACUGGAAGUAAUUCAAGUGGUUAUAGAGAAAUGGCUAAGAAAAUACUUGAUAUAAAUGUGAUAGAAUAUCCUAUAGCCAUUAAAAAUCAUAUUUACAUUAAAA